CCCCUCCCUAUCCCUGCUCCCUCCUGCCAGCAUCAGAUCCACCCCCUUCUUCCAGGUGCCCCGCUAAGCGCGACUAUUUUUGGUGACUGCUGUUCGUAAGGGACCUUACAAGCUCACAGAAAUCCUGAGUAGGACUGAACAUGCAUCUCCACCUAUACAAGGUGUUCCAAGAUCUUCAGACAAGCACUGGUGAUAAAAUAAGGACCUCAUCUUGUCCAUCGGUAUAACAAGGAUAAUGAUGGCACCUCUCAUACAUGGCAGCUGUAGAGCUGAAAUGAGAUAAUCUCUCGGAAGUCCUGCAUAUCUGGCACGUGGUAAAUGCUC
Molecule: long non-coding RNA, 324 nt
Organism: Choloepus didactylus (southern two-toed sloth)
Lineage: Eukaryota; Metazoa; Chordata; Mammalia; Pilosa; Megalonychidae
Exons: 3
Source: RefSeq, a predicted model, not a curated record